GACGAACGCUGGCGGCGUGCUUAACACAUGCAAGUCGAACGGUGAAGCUCCAGCUUGCUGGAGUGGAUCAGUGGCGAACGGGUGAGUAACACGUGAGCAACCUGCCCCUGACUUUGGAAUAAGCGCUGGAAACGGCGCCUAAUACUGGAUACGAGAAGGGUCCGCAUGGGCACCUUCUGGACAUCUGUUCGGUUGGGGAUGGGCUCGCGGCCUAUCAGCUUGUUGGUGGGGUAGUGGCUCACCAAGGCGGCGACUGGUAGCCGGCACGAGAGCGGGACCGGCCACCAUGGGACUGAGACACGGACCAGACUCCUACGGGAGGCAGUAGUGGGGAAUAUUGCACAAUGGGCGAAAGCCUGAUGCAGCGACGCCGCGUGAGGGAUGACGGCCUUCGGGUUGUAAACCUCUUUCAGCAGGGAAGAAGCGAAAGUGACGGUACCUGCAGAAGAAGCACCGGCUAACUACGUG
This 468-nucleotide ribosomal RNA is filed under the name uncultured bacterium. RNAcentral's name for it is "partial 16S ribosomal RNA". It matches the Rfam family "Bacterial small subunit ribosomal RNA", at positions 28 to 507 of the family's 1533-position model. The record is from RNAcentral.